Molecule: ribosomal RNA, 441 nt
Filed under: uncultured bacterium
Lineage: Bacteria
Description: partial 16S ribosomal RNA
Rfam family: Bacterial small subunit ribosomal RNA
Source: RNAcentral
CCUACGGGGGGCAGCAGUGGGGAAUAUUGCACAAUGGGGGAAACCCUGAUGCAGCGACGCCGCGGGAGUGAAGAAGUAUUUCGGUAUGUAAAGCUCUAUCAGCAGGGAAGAGAAUGACGGUACCUGACCAAGAAGCCCCGGCUAAAUACGUGCCAGCAGCCGCGGUAAUACGUAUGGGGCAAGCGUUAUCCGGAUUUACUGGGGGGAAAGGGAGCGUAGGCGGCAGGGCAAGCCUGAUGUGAAAGCCCGGGGCUCAACCCCGGGACUGCAUUGGGAACUGCCCCGCUCGAGUGCCGGAGGGGCAGGCGGAAUUCCUAGGGUAGCGGUGGAAUGCGUAGAUAUUAGGAGGAACACCAGUGGCGAAGGCGGCCUGCUGGACGGUGUACUGACGCUGAGGCUCGAAAGCGUGGGGAGCAAACAGGAUUAGAUACCCGGGUAGUC